CACAAGCUUUCCGUAGGUGAACCUGCGGAGGGAUCAUUACACAAAUAUGAAGGCGGGCUGGAACCUCUCGGGGUUACAGCCUUGCUGAAUUAUUCACCCUUGUCUUUUGCGUACUUCUUGUUUCCUUGGUGGGUUCGCCCACCACUAGGACAAACAUAAACCUUUUGUAAUUGCAAUCAGCGUCAGUAACAAAUUAAUAAUUACAACUUUCAACAACGGAUCUCUUGGUUCUGGCAUCGAUGAAGAACGCAGCGAAAUGCGAUAAGUAGUGUGAAUUGCAGAAUUCAGUGAAUCAUCGAAUCUUUGAACGCACAUUGCGCCCUUUGGUAUUCCAAAGGGCAUGCCUGUUCGAGCGUCAUUUGUACCCUCAAGCUUUGCUUGGUGUUGGGCGUCUUGUCUCUAGCUUUGCUGGAGACUCGCCUUAAAGUAAUUGGCAGCCGGCCUGCUGGUUUCGGAGCGCAGCACAAGUCGCACUCUCUAUCAGCAAAGGUCUAGCAUCCAUUAAGCCUUUUUUUCAACUUUUGACCUCGGAUCAGGUAGGGAUACCCGCUGAACUUAAGCAUAUCAAUAAGCGGAGGAGGAUCCGUG
RNAcentral lists this ribosomal RNA (588 nucleotides) under uncultured fungus. RNAcentral describes it as "eukaryotic LSU rRNA". The stretch from base 205 to 358 matches the Rfam family "5.8S ribosomal RNA". Lineage: Eukaryota; Fungi. The record is from RNAcentral.